CUUUUGACAAGAACAGUAAGACACUGGUUGUUUAGUCAAGGAUUCGUGAAGCUUUCUCAAAUGUUCACAGCCCAGUAGGGUACACAGCAGAUGCCAGCAUCCAUCUUCAUUUACUGAUGAGACUGAACUCUAAGGGGUCAGAGAAUGUCUGAGAUCACAAAGGCAGUAAGCACGCAGCUGGCCGGGUCAUUGGGUUCCUGGCCAGUGCUCUUUCUACCAUCAUACAUUAUUGCAUGCUGCCCUUUUCACUCACGUGGGCAUCAGCAGACCUUUUUCUGACCAUACAGAUCUCUGAGUUCCAUCAGAGCCUCCCCAAAGCUAAGUGUUUGUAGGUGUCAUUAUUAUAUCACGGUCAGUUAGGGAGCUCUUCAAAAUAUGAUGCUUACCAUAAAGUCAUUUACUUGCAGAUGUCUCCUUCUAUGACCAAAAGUUUCAGUGCUCUGAGGAGCAUUCUAGCUUUGAAAUACUUUAUUGAACCAGCUUCUAUCAACAUUAUGAAGAUCACUCAAAGUUCCAUUCUUGCAACAAAGGUGACCAGAUAUUACUCCAAGGGACAAUAAUGGAGAACUCCGCGGCCAAAAUGCUUAGAAGGAAAUCAAGCGAAUCCAGAAGAGAAUAAAGAGAGUGUAAAAGGAAAACUGAGAAUACAAAGAUUUUCCAGACCCUUCUAAAUUUUACAGUUUGAAAAACCACAGUGCUUUGCAAAAUAUCACAUUCAAUUGUCAGUUAAAAAAAAUUCUGUUAGAAGUCUCCUCAGUGCACCAAAGGGUGGGGAGGAGCCGCUGACUGGCCUCCAG
RNAcentral lists this long non-coding RNA (797 nucleotides) under Equus asinus (donkey). RNAcentral describes it as "lncRNA (ENSEASG00005028132.1)". The record is from RNAcentral. Lineage: Eukaryota; Metazoa; Chordata; Mammalia; Perissodactyla; Equidae.